UAAACUGCCAAGGAGUGUGAGUGCAUGAGCACUGUCUGUGUUGGUAUUUUAACGGAAGUCAGGCAGGAGUUGCCUCUCUUGAUAUAUUUCCAACAGAGGACAAAAUGGGUCUGGCUGAUGGAAUUUAUAGAGUUGUAUUUAGGCGAACUUCAACAUUUGCUGUAGCUAUUCUUGGUUCUGCCAUUGUAUUCGAUGCAUAUUUUAAUGAUUUCUUUGACAGAUGGAUAGCACAACAUAACGCAGGCAGGCGGUAUGAAGAUUUGAGGAAGAUUUAUCCUGAGGGUGCCGGCGGUGGUGAAGAUGAUGAAUAAUAGGAAUAACUGUAGGAAAUCUAGGGACAAUACGGACUACUGGUUUAUAUGUGAUGUGAUGUGAUGUUAAGAAUCAACAAAACUCUCAGAAAAUGAAGUCACAUGUAUGAUUGUGAUAUUAUUGUUUGUGAAAUUUGAAAAAAACAACACAUUAAUAUAAAAAUAUUUCUUUUAAAAGUU
This is a long non-coding RNA of Saccostrea cuccullata (small rock oyster), 491 nucleotides long. RefSeq lists it as uncharacterized. The record is from RefSeq and is a predicted model, not a curated record. Lineage: Eukaryota; Metazoa; Mollusca; Bivalvia; Ostreida; Ostreidae. The transcript has 2 exons.